Molecule: unclassified non-coding RNA, 951 nt
Filed under: Hevea brasiliensis (rubber tree)
Lineage: Eukaryota; Viridiplantae; Streptophyta; Magnoliopsida; Malpighiales; Euphorbiaceae
Source: RNAcentral
GUCAAUUAUUCCUGCAUUUUUAUGUUUAUUCAUGUGCACUUGUAUUGGCAAACAAAACACAGGGAAGAUAUUAAGUUGAUAAAUUGCUGAGAUGAACAUGCACAUAUUUUUCAGUAUUAUAAGCAGAAUAUCAACAUUAUAUCCUCAAAAUCAUGUUGCUGGUUUGUUGCAUAUUUGUCUCUAGUUCAAUAUGUAGGUAAAUGGGCAGACUGGCAAGUGGCAGCGUCGCAGUGAGUAGUUUGUGUUCUUAUUAGGGUAGAAGACUCGAAGUAGGUUAGAUUAUCUUUUUUAGAGAUACAUAAAUUAUUAUGCUAAGUGCCCUCACUCGGAAGACAUGAAUUUCAAAUUUCUGUCCUGUUCUGACAGUCAUCCCAUCCUGCCGCAAAUCCACUCUGCUGCAUCGUUUUCCACCCUAGUCCUCUACCCACCUUCAAUGCCUGAAUCUUCAUGUGCACACAUAAAUUGGAUUUUGCAGAGUUUAAUGUUCUUAUGAUACUUUCUGUUUAGGAUAACAGAGAAUUAUCUUGUAAUACAUUUUUCAUUCCAUUAUGUUUCAUUACUCUGUUAUGGUCUGCUACAUGUACAUUUAGUAUUGAGUUUGAAUCAAUAUUAUUAUAUUUGAACACAUGUAUUUGUGUGUCAGAUACUCAGAUGUCAGUUCUCCCCAUUUAAGUCCUUCCGCCUUACAAAUAUGACAGUAUUUCACUUGUUAGUUUGAAGUUCUGGCCAACACAUGUUGCCAGUAUCCACUCAAUAUUUUAUUGCGAAACAACUGGGGCUAGCUGCUUGCUCAGAUUUUUGUUAAUCAUUCACUUCUUGUACAGCGAUCUUAUGGCCAUGUUUGGCAUAACGUAAUCAAAGUUGUAAUGUAAUCGUAAUUACAUUACAUAUUUGAUUAUAUUAUUUGAUAGCACAAAAAAUUUUGAUGUAAUGAAAUAAUAAUUAUAUAAU